This is a long non-coding RNA of Solanum stenotomum, 696 nucleotides long. RefSeq lists it as uncharacterized. The record is from RefSeq and is a predicted model, not a curated record. The transcript has 3 exons. Lineage: Eukaryota; Viridiplantae; Streptophyta; Magnoliopsida; Solanales; Solanaceae.
CCAUCUACGAGACCUCUUCCUGAAUUUUGUUUUGCAAAACUCAAAAAUUUAAGCUUGUUCAACUGGACAAUGGAAGAUGGAGGUUGUAAAAUUAGAGUACCUCUAGCAUCAAGAUUCUCCAAGUUUUCCAAAUCCCCUAUCUCUUCUGGAAAGUUUUUAAGCUUAGAGCAAUCCGACACAUUUAGGCUGACCAAACUUUUCAACUUACAAAGGCUGCUCGGAAGUGUUGCAAGGUUUUCAAAACCUCUAAAACCUAGAGCCCUUAUUACACUGUCGAGCAUGUGAAUCUCUAACUCCACUUUCAUGUUUCCGAGGAUUUCUGGAAUUUUUUCUAAACUAGAGCAAUCCCGUAGACACAGAUACUCAAGAGAAUCAAUGCACAGAGCUGGAAACCUCUUAAGCCGUUUACAAUUAGUCAAUUUUAAUGUACAGAGCUUUUUGAGAAAUCCCAGGGAAUGAUGAACCUCUUCAAGAUUUAUACAAUUUGACAGAUUCAAAGUCUCCAAGUUUUGCAUUCCCAUGAAGCUUGGCAACUCUUUAAGCCUCUUGCAAUAUGAUAGGUCCAAGGAUCGAAGAGCACCAAGUUGGGCUAUGCUUUGAGGCAAAUGCUCAAAAUUAUUACCACAUAGACAUAACUCGUUCAAAGAGGAUAAGAAUCCAAUGUCUUCCGGAAGCCCUCCAUCUAUUAGAUUGCAG